Oreochromis niloticus (Nile tilapia) is the source of this 191-nucleotide long non-coding RNA. RefSeq lists it as uncharacterized. The record is from RefSeq and is a predicted model, not a curated record. The transcript is spliced from 2 exons. NCBI's taxonomy places the organism in Eukaryota, Metazoa, Chordata, Actinopteri, Cichliformes, Cichlidae.
UCAGACUCUGGUGUGAAGUGUUUAAUGUGACGCAGCCUGCAGACACAGAGGACUGAUGACGGAGAAGAAGCAGAGGAUUUUCUCUGUUUCUACACAGACCUGGUCCAGACAGCAGAGAGCUGCAGAGUGAAGACGUUCAUGGGAAGAAGCUGAGUGAAGGUAGAAAGUGUGUGUGAGCUGAUGUGAAUUGA